Pelmatolapia mariae (spotted tilapia) is the source of this 601-nucleotide long non-coding RNA. RefSeq lists it as uncharacterized. Lineage: Eukaryota; Metazoa; Chordata; Actinopteri; Cichliformes; Cichlidae. The transcript is spliced from 3 exons. The record is from RefSeq and is a predicted model, not a curated record.
CUGCUGUGUCCAAAUUCUGGUUCAGUCCUGAACGUAGUCAUCAGUGGCAGCAUCGCUCACACCCCGAGGACCUCAGAAAAGACUCCCACUAUGCAGGUCGUGUUGAGGUCAUUGGAACAGAGAGAGGACGCUCCACUCUGAGAAUCAGAGACCUGACAGAGAGUGAUUCAGCCGAGUAUCACUUUAAAUUCAAAACACAAAGCUUUGAAUGGAAGAGUAGUUUACCUGGAACAACUCUGACUGUCACAGCUCUGCAGGUGAAGGUGAGCAGAAUAAUAUCAGUCCAGCAGACUCAGACUGAGGCAGAGCUGAAGUGUCAAAGCAGCUGCAGUCCUGCUGGUCGUCUUUCUUACGUCUGGUUGAAGAACGGACAGAAAAACACGACACUGCAAACUUCUGCUUAUACAGACUACUUUAAUCCUGGAGACAACAUCUCCUGUGCUUUCUCUGGAUACGAGGAUUACCGCUCUCCAUCAUUGUAUCCGUCAAAGCUUCCCUCUGUGUCAGUGAGUCCCUCUGGUGAGAUAGUGGAGGGCAGUUCAGUCACUCUGACCUGUCGUACACAUGCUAGUCCAGCAGCUAAUAAUACUUUGUACAAAGG